This 558-nucleotide unclassified non-coding RNA is filed under the name Hevea brasiliensis (rubber tree). Lineage: Eukaryota; Viridiplantae; Streptophyta; Magnoliopsida; Malpighiales; Euphorbiaceae. The record is from RNAcentral.
AUCGAGGUAAAGCAAAAACUUCAAAUUUUGAAUUAGAUUUCACUAUUAACAGGCUCGUGACUAGAUCCUGGGUGACACUUUCUUUUCCUUAUUGAUGACGAUUUACUUUCCUCCGUUGAAGAUAACUUCGUUGACCUCAAACCUUGAUUUCUCCUCUUCCUUUACUUCUAAUAACACUGACCGUUGCCACCAUCUCUUUCCCAACGAUAACGACAAUGAUAGUGACAAACUUGAGUUAGUUCGUUGCAGGUGGUUCAUUUAAUUUUACCCUCACUUAGAUAUUUGGUGAUAGCCAAGAGGGGGAAAUUGGACAUAUGAGUUUGUGAUUAAUAAUAAGGGGGAAAUUAAAAUUUUUCUUAGUUGGAUUUUAUUUCUCAAGUUGCAUGUAUGGUUAGUUUUAUCGAGGUUGAGAUGAUUUCAGGUUUACAUAGUAUUUGAUUCAAAUCAAAUAAAAACUUAUAAUUCAUUUUAAAUGAACUUCACUUUUUGGUAUGACAUAAUUUAAAAUGCAAAAUUAAAUUGAAUUUCAUAUCCUUCAUAUUUGGUAUAAUUUCAUAA